UCCUCCAUGGCGCAAUUGGCUAGCGCGUCUGACUGUUACUCACUGUCUGUCUGGUACAUACCGUAACCCAGCCGCGAGCGAGCAAUCAGGAGGUUCCUGGUUCGAGCCCAGGUGGGGGAG
Molecule: transfer RNA, 120 nt
Filed under: Corynespora cassiicola Philippines
Lineage: Eukaryota; Fungi; Ascomycota; Dothideomycetes; Pleosporales; Corynesporascaceae
Rfam family: tRNA
About the family: Transfer RNA (tRNA) molecules are approximately 80 nucleotides in length. Their secondary structure includes four short double-helical elements and three loops (D, anti-codon, and T loops). Further hydrogen bonds mediate the characteristic L-shaped molecular structure. tRNAs have two regions of fundamental functional importance: the anti-codon, which is responsible for specific mRNA codon recognition, and the 3' end, to which the tRNAs corresponding amino acid is attached (by aminoacyl-tRNA synthetases). tRNAs cope with the degeneracy of the genetic code in two manners: having more than one tRNA (with a specific anti-codon) for a particular amino acid; and 'wobble' base-pairing, i.e. permitting non-standard base-pairing at the 3rd anti-codon position.
Source: Rfam by way of RNAcentral